GCCGGACUGGCGGAAUGGCAGACGCAGGGGACUUAAAAUCCCCAGUCCGAAGGGGCGUGAGGGUUCGAGUCCCUCGUCCGGCACCA
Molecule: transfer RNA, 86 nt
Filed under: Candidatus Sumerlaeota bacterium
Lineage: Bacteria; Candidatus Sumerlaeota
Also listed under: 1 other name
Description: tRNA-Leu
Rfam family: tRNA
About the family: Transfer RNA (tRNA) molecules are approximately 80 nucleotides in length. Their secondary structure includes four short double-helical elements and three loops (D, anti-codon, and T loops). Further hydrogen bonds mediate the characteristic L-shaped molecular structure. tRNAs have two regions of fundamental functional importance: the anti-codon, which is responsible for specific mRNA codon recognition, and the 3' end, to which the tRNAs corresponding amino acid is attached (by aminoacyl-tRNA synthetases). tRNAs cope with the degeneracy of the genetic code in two manners: having more than one tRNA (with a specific anti-codon) for a particular amino acid; and 'wobble' base-pairing, i.e. permitting non-standard base-pairing at the 3rd anti-codon position.
Source: RNAcentral